RNAcentral lists this ribosomal RNA (1246 nucleotides) under Candidatus Phytoplasma sacchari. RNAcentral's name for it is "bacterial SSU rRNA". It matches the Rfam family "Bacterial small subunit ribosomal RNA", at positions 153 to 1398 of the family's 1533-position model. The record is from RNAcentral. Lineage: Bacteria; Bacillati; Mycoplasmatota; Mollicutes; Acholeplasmatales; Acholeplasmataceae.
GAAACAGUUGCUAAGACUGGAUAGGAAAUAAAAAGGCAUCUUUUUAUUUUUAAAAGACCUUUUUCGGAAGGUAUGCUUAAAGAGGGGCUUGCGUCACAUUAGUUAGUUGGCAGGGUAAAGGCCUACCAAGACUAUGAUGUGUAGCUGGACUGAGAGGUUGAACAGCCACAUUGGGACUGAGACACGGCCCAAACUCCUACGGGAGGCAGCAGUAGGGAAUUUUCGGCAAUGGAGGAAACUCUGACCGAGCAACGCCGCGUGAACGAUGAAGUAUUUCGGUAUGUAAAGUUCUUUUAUUGAAGAAGAAAAAAUAGUGGAAAAACUAUCUUGACGAUAUUCAAUGAAUAAGCCCCGGCAAACUAUGUGCCAGCAGCCGCGGUAAUACAUAGGGGGCGAGCGUUAUCCGGAAUUAUUGGGCGUAAAGGGUGCGUAGGCGGUUUAAUAAGUCUAUAGUUUAAUUUCAGUGCUUAACACUGUCCUGCUAUAGAAACUAUUAGACUAGAGUGAGAUAGAGGCAAGUGGAAUUCCAUGUGUAGCGGUAAAAUGCGUAAAUAUAUGGAGGAACACCAGAGGCGUAGGCGGCUUGCUGGGUCUUUACUGACGCUGAGGCACGAAAGCGUGGGGAGCAAACAGGAUUAGAUACCCUGGUAGUCCACGCCGUAAACGAUGAGUACUAAGUGUCGGGAUUACUCGGUACUGAAGUUAACACAUUAAGUACUCCGCCUGAGUAGUACGUACGCAAGUAUGAAACUUAAAGGAAUUGACGGGACUCCGCACAAGCGGUGGAUCAUGUUGUUUAAUUCGAAGAUACACGAAAAACCUUACCAGGUCUUGACAUACUCUGCAAAGCUAUAGCAAUAUAGUGGAGGUUAUCAGAGAUACAGGUGGUGCAUGGUUGUCGUCAGCUCGUGUCGUGAGAUGUUAGGUUAAGUCCUAAAACGAGCGCAACCCUUGUCAUUAGUUGCCAGCAUGUCAUGAUGGGCACUUUAAUGAGACUGCCAAUGAAAAAUUGGAGGAAGGUGAGGAUCACGUCAAAUCAUCAUGCCCCUUAUGAUCUGGGCUACAAACGUGAUACAAUGGCUGUUACAAAGAGUAGCUGAAACGCAAGUUUAUAGCCAAUCUCAUAAAAGCAGUCUCAGUUCGGAUUGAAGUCUGCAACUCGACUUCAUGAAGUUGGAAUCGCUAGUAAUCGCGAAUCAGCAUGUCGCGGUGAAUACGUUCUCGGGGUUUGUACACACCGUGCGUC